Molecule: long non-coding RNA, 823 nt
Filed under: Mus musculus (house mouse)
Lineage: Eukaryota; Metazoa; Chordata; Mammalia; Rodentia; Muridae
Description: RIKEN cDNA 9630028I04 gene
Source: RNAcentral
CCUUGGGAAACGCCUGCUUCUGCUUCUCAGCAGGAGCCUGCAGGGCUCAGCCUAGAGAGCUCAGACCUCACCCUACUUCUCCUCACCAGGUACUUUAGUUGGUGUUCAUGUGGUGUGUGUGCGUGUGUGCCUGUGCGUGCGUGUGUGUGUGUGUGUGUGUGUGUGUGUGUGUGUGUGUGUGUGUGUGUUGCGCAUUUCCCCAGCAGAACGGAAACUCCAACAGGCUGGCUGUUUAUGCCAGUUCUCUUGGCCGACGUACACCCAGCAUCUGGAAGCAUGCCCAGCAGAGAGAAGGCGCCUAAUGGACGUUUGUUACAAUUCUCUCCUGAGAGUGUAGUUCUGAGUGAUAGGGGGUCAAACUAGGGACAUAAAAGGUGGAAAAAAGAAGAACCCACAAAGUAGCAUAGGCCAGCUACAACUACUGCAACUGAAGUGUCCAGGCAAGGCACAGAUUACUCUUGAUCAGCAAGGUCCAAUUGGAAGAUGGAACACAGAGACUGGAAAGGCAGAACCAAACCGUGAUGAGCUGAAGCCUAGCGCCAGCAGUGCCCGUCCUGCAUUGAAGGGACCCAAGAGAGCAGCCCUCCUCUCCUCCUUGUUCCCGAAGCCUGAAGAACGCGUGUCACCUGCUAAUGGGACCCGGCAGGUGGAACUAGAUCACAGGUUGAAAUGAAGAUGUCAGACUGCAAAGCAGGGGACAGUAACCAGACCUGGCAGAUCAAGAUGUGAGUUCUCAGCUGCUCCUGCCACACCUUUGUUCAGCCACCAUGGCCUGUAUCUUUCUGGAACCAAAACUCUGAUUAAACGCUUUCUUUUAUAAGUU